Ciona intestinalis (vase tunicate) is the source of this 810-nucleotide non-coding RNA. NCBI's taxonomy places the organism in Eukaryota, Metazoa, Chordata, Ascidiacea, Phlebobranchia, Cionidae. The record is from RefSeq and is a predicted model, not a curated record.
CACGAUUCAUGCUCAUUUUCACCCUUAUUCAUGUUGCUUACCUUAUAAGAUUGGACUCUUUCACUUGGAUCAUUGUCAUCCCAGUUAACUGUAUGGAUUUGUUGAUAAAGAAAUCCGAUCCUGGAUUGCUUUUCUGGAAUAUUGGUCAUUAAGAUCAUUAUUAUAAGACAAUGAUAAAAAUGGAAAUGUCACUUUGAUCUGUUAUUGCUCUACCAAAAUAGGUUCCCCAGCAGAAGUUACAGAUUGUAAAUCCACUGUUGGAAUUCCUUCAUCCACGAUGUUACCAAUCACGCCUUCCUUCCAAUCAUCUCCAGUACCUGCCUCUCUACAUCGAUCCAGGAUGCGAUUCCAAGUUCCUCCGAGAUCUUCUUCACGAUCAAUCUAGGAUCCGACCAUUCUCCUCCCUGGUAAGAGGAAACUUGUUUCUUCUGAUGAGCAUCAUGGGAGUUGUUCCAGCAGUAACUGAAGAAAAUGUCAGCUGUACCGGAGAUCACAGAUCCAUCACUCCUGCUCCUGUUGCUGGAUGACUCACAUCUUUGAUCUUGAUACCUGGGAUCUUACUCUUGAUGCUACGUGCCAGCUCUGUCAUCUUAUAAGACUCAACUUCUUUGUUCUGGAAAUGGAUAUAAAGCUCGCCUGCGAUCAGAAGCCCAACUACUGUCAUCUGCCACUCAAAUGAACCAGAUCCUACCUUGUAUGGGGUUGAAAGCAAGGAUUAAAAAAAGAGGUUUGGUUGUUGAAGAUGAUGAACCCAUGGUUGCUUCCAAUGCUGUUGUACUGAUAUCCCAAUCUACCACUGAGCCGUAUUAA